RNAcentral lists this long non-coding RNA (223 nucleotides) under Pan troglodytes (chimpanzee). Its description in RNAcentral is "long non-coding RNA NONPTRT001636". Lineage: Eukaryota; Metazoa; Chordata; Mammalia; Primates; Hominidae. The record is from RNAcentral.
UUGGAUCCAAUGAAAAUAAUAAGGACACAGGAAAUGGUAAAUAUUUGGGUAAAUAUAAAAGGAUAUAUAUUUUGGUUUUCUGAAUUUCUUUAAAAAAUCAUGGGAUUGUUUAACGGAAAAUAAUAACACCGUAUUAUGGGGUUUGUAACAUAAGUAGAUGUACUAUGACAAAAAUCUCACAAUCCAACCCUACAAAGCAGUUUUGUAAAGGUGGCUGGAUCUG